RNAcentral lists this ribosomal RNA (305 nucleotides) under uncultured bacterium. RNAcentral describes it as "bacterial SSU rRNA". It matches the Rfam family "Bacterial small subunit ribosomal RNA", at positions 333 to 630 of the family's 1533-position model. The record is from RNAcentral.
GAGGACCUACGGGGGGCAGCAGUAGGGAAUCUUCCACAAUGGGCGAAAGCCUGAUGGAGCAACGCCGCGUGGGUGAAGAAGGUCUUCGGAUCGUAAAACCCUGUUGUUAGAGAAGAAAGUGCGUGAGAGUAACUGUUCACGUUUCGACGGUAACUAACCAGAAAGCCACGGCUAACUACGUGCCAGCAGCCGCGGUAAUACGUAGGUGGCAAGCGUUAUCCGGAUUUAUUGGGCGUAAAGGGAACGCAGGCGGUCUUUUAGGUCUGAUUUGGAAGCCUUCGGCUUAACCGGAGUAGUGCAUUGGG